RNAcentral lists this ribosomal RNA (1326 nucleotides) under Microbacterium oxydans. RNAcentral's name for it is "bacterial SSU rRNA". It matches the Rfam family "Bacterial small subunit ribosomal RNA", at positions 100 to 1438 of the family's 1533-position model. Lineage: Bacteria; Bacillati; Actinomycetota; Actinomycetes; Micrococcales; Microbacteriaceae. The record is from RNAcentral.
GAACGGGUGAGUAACACGUGAGCAACCUGCCCCUGACUCUGGGAUAAGCGCUGGAAACGGCGUCUAAUACUGGAUAUGUGACGUGAUCGCAUGGUCUGCGUCUGGAAAGAAUUUCGGUUGGGGAUGGGCUCGCGGCCUAUCAGCUUGUUGGUGAGGUAAUGGCUCACCAAGGCGUCGACGGGUAGCCGGCCUGAGAGGGUGACCGGCCACACUGGGACUGAGACACGGCCCAGACUCCUACGGGAGGCAGCAGUGGGGAAUAUUGCACAAUGGGCGCAAGCCUGAUGCAGCAACGCCGCGUGAGGGACGACGGCCUUCGGGUUGUAAACCUCUUUUAGCAGGGAAGAAGCGAAAGUGACGGUACCUGCAGAAAAAGCGCCGGCUAACUACGUGCCAGCAGCCGCGGUAAUACGUAGGGCGCAAGCGUUAUCCGGAAUUAUUGGGCGUAAAGAGCUCGUAGGCGGUUUGUCGCGUCUGCUGUGAAAUCCGGAGGCUCAACCUCCGGCCUGCAGUGGGUACGGGCAGACUAGAGUGCGGUAGGGGAGAUUGGAAUUCCUGGUGUAGCGGUGGAAUGCGCAGAUAUCAGGAGGAACACCGAUGGCGAAGGCAGAUCUCUGGGCCGUAACUGACGCUGAGGAGCGAAAGGGUGGGGAGCAAACAGGCUUAGAUACCCUGGUAGUCCACCCCGUAAACGUUGGGAACUAGUUGUGGGGUCCAUUCCACGGAUUCCGUGACGCAGCUAACGCAUUAAGUUCCCCGCCUGGGGAGUACGGCCGCAAGGCUAAAACUCAAAGGAAUUGACGGGGACCCGCACAAGCGGCGGAGCAUGCGGAUUAAUUCGAUGCAACGCGAAGAACCUUACCAAGGCUUGACAUAUACGAGAACGGGCCAGAAAUGGUCAACUCUUUGGACACUCGUAAACAGGUGGUGCAUGGUUGUCGUCAGCUCGUGUCGUGAGAUGUUGGGUUAAGUCCCGCAACGAGCGCAACCCUCGUUCUAUGUUGCCAGCACGUAAUGGUGGGAACUCAUGGGAUACUGCCGGGGUCAACUCGGAGGAAGGUGGGGAUGACGUCAAAUCAUCAUGCCCCUUAUGUCUUGGGCUUCACGCAUGCUACAAUGGCCGGUACAAAGGGCUGCAAUACCGCGAGGUGGAGCGAAUCCCAAAAAGCCGGUCCCAGUUCGGAUUGAGGUCUGCAACUCGACCUCAUGAAGUCGGAGUCGCUAGUAAUCGCAGAUCAGCAACGCUGCGGUGAAUACGUUCCCGGGUCUUGUACACACCGCCCGUCAAGUCAUGAAAGUCGGUAACACCUGAAGCCGGUGGCCUAA